This 253-nucleotide ribosomal RNA is filed under the name uncultured bacterium. Its description in RNAcentral is "partial 16S ribosomal RNA". It matches the Rfam family "Bacterial small subunit ribosomal RNA", at positions 524 to 776 of the family's 1533-position model. The record is from RNAcentral.
UACGGAGGGUGCAAACGUUGCUCGGAAUCAUUGGGCGUAAAGCGCACGUAGGCGGCUCAGUAAGUCGGGUGUGAAAGCCCUCGGCUCAACCGAGGAAGUGCAUUCGAAACUACUGAGCUUGAAUACUGGAGAGGAUCGCGGAAUUCCCGGUGUAGAGGUGAAAUUCGUAGAUAUCGGGAGGAACACCAGUGGCGAAGGCGACUUACUGGACACAUAUUGACGCUGAGGUGCGAAAGCGUGGGGAGCAAACAGG